AAAAGAACUAUAUUCUCAAAAAUUUCUAAAAUUAGCAGUCCCUUGACUUUGCUCUACUUCUAUCAGCUGCCAAACAGAUCCUCAAGUUUCUAAGAAGUCGCUUUUAGGUCCAAUUUCAGUUGACUCAACAAACUAGGCCAAACAACAAUUUACUGUUUCCUUCAUUUUCCAAGCAACCAAACAAAAACCUCAAACUCGAUUCAACCACUAAC
RNAcentral lists this unclassified non-coding RNA (212 nucleotides) under Hevea brasiliensis (rubber tree). Lineage: Eukaryota; Viridiplantae; Streptophyta; Magnoliopsida; Malpighiales; Euphorbiaceae. The record is from RNAcentral.